ACAGAGGAUCGCUNCACCACGUAUCGAAUUGCGCAAUUUAAUGUGAAUUNCAGAAUUCAGUGAAUCAUCGAAUCUUUGAACGCAUAUUGCA
Molecule: ribosomal RNA, 91 nt
Filed under: uncultured Clavariaceae
Lineage: Eukaryota; Fungi; Basidiomycota; Agaricomycetes; Agaricales; Clavariaceae
Description: partial 5.8S ribosomal RNA
Rfam family: 5.8S ribosomal RNA (bases 16-91)
About the family: 5.8S ribosomal RNA (5.8S rRNA) is a component of the large subunit of the eukaryotic ribosome. It is transcribed by RNA polymerase I as part of the 45S precursor that also contains 18S and 28S rRNA.
Source: RNAcentral